Molecule: ribosomal RNA, 102 nt
Filed under: uncultured bacterium
Lineage: Bacteria
Description: partial 16S ribosomal RNA
Rfam family: Bacterial small subunit ribosomal RNA
Source: RNAcentral
UACGUUCCCGGGCCUUGUACACACCGCCCGUCACAUCACGAAAGUGGAUUGUACUAGAAGUUCCUAUCAAACGGACCCAAGGUAUGAUUCAUGAUUGGGGUG